AUAGAGUGUUCAUGUAGUUGCAUU
Molecule: non-coding RNA, 24 nt
Filed under: Arabidopsis thaliana (thale cress)
Lineage: Eukaryota; Viridiplantae; Streptophyta; Magnoliopsida; Brassicales; Brassicaceae
Source: RNAcentral